GAUGAACGCUGGCGGCGUGCCUAAUACAUGCAAGUCGAGCGAACAGACGAGGAGCUUGCUCCUCUGACGUUAGCGGCGGACGGGUGAGUAACACGUGGAUAACCUACCUAUAAGACUGGGAUAACUUCGGGAAACCGGAGCUAAUACCGGAUAAUAUAUUGAACCGCAUGGUUCAAUAGUGAAAGACGGUUUUGCCGUCACUUAUAGAUGGAUCCGCGCCGCAUUAGCUAGUUGGUAAGGUAACGGCUUACCAAGGCAACGAUGCGUAGCCGACCUGAGAGGGCGAUCGGCCACACUGGAACUGAGACACGGUCCAGACUCCUACGGGAGGCAGCAGUAGGGAAUCUUCCGCAAUGGGCGAAAGCUUGACGGAGCAACGCCGCGUGAGUGAUGAAGGUCUUCGGAUCGUAAAACUCUGUUAUUAGGGAAGAACAAAUGUGUAAGUAACUAUGCACGUCUUGACGGUACCUAAUCAGAAAGCCACGGCUAACUACGUG
RNAcentral lists this ribosomal RNA (497 nucleotides) under uncultured bacterium. RNAcentral's name for it is "partial 16S ribosomal RNA". It matches the Rfam family "Bacterial small subunit ribosomal RNA", at positions 28 to 507 of the family's 1533-position model. The record is from RNAcentral.